Non-coding RNA from Pelobates cultripes (western spadefoot toad), 407 nucleotides. NCBI's taxonomy places the organism in Eukaryota, Metazoa, Chordata, Amphibia, Anura, Pelobatidae. The record is from the annotation of a GenBank genome assembly.
GUGAAGUUUCAAGACUUCACCCCCAGAAUUUGAAUCCUCUUUUACAGUACAGAGACACUCACACAAAUCAGACAGCUGUACAUAAUACAAUAAAAUAAGCUGGGCACAACAAAAAGAUAUCUAUAAAAUACAUAUAGCUGAGUACAAUACAGAGAUGACCAUUCCACAAACAGAGCUGAGAAAAAAAUAAAGCUAUAAUACACAGAGCUGGGCACUACACAAAGAUAACUCACAACACACAUGGAUGGGUAGACUACAUAGAUACCCAUAUAUCUGGUAGCGCUGAGUAAAACACAGAGAAAUAACACACAGAGCUGUACACAAUAAAGAGAUACUAUCCCAGACAGCCAGAAUCACUGAUGGAUUACACAGCGUUGCAAUGCAGAGAUUCCCACACAGUACAUGUC